Molecule: transfer RNA, 116 nt
Filed under: Capronia epimyces CBS 606.96
Lineage: Eukaryota; Fungi; Ascomycota; Eurotiomycetes; Chaetothyriales; Herpotrichiellaceae
Rfam family: tRNA
About the family: Transfer RNA (tRNA) molecules are approximately 80 nucleotides in length. Their secondary structure includes four short double-helical elements and three loops (D, anti-codon, and T loops).
Source: Rfam by way of RNAcentral
GACACUAUGGCCGAGUGGUUAAGGCGUGUGACUAGAAUGGUCCAAUUGAAGAUUCAAGUUGGGCUGCUUGCCAUCACAUCUCUUCGGAGGCACAGGUUCAAGUCCUGUUGGUGUCG